Molecule: ribosomal RNA, 202 nt
Filed under: Eubacterium callanderi
Lineage: Bacteria; Bacillati; Bacillota; Clostridia; Eubacteriales; Eubacteriaceae
Also listed under: 1 other name
Description: partial 16S ribosomal RNA
Rfam family: Bacterial small subunit ribosomal RNA
Source: RNAcentral
UUUUUAUUGAGAGUUUGAUCCUGGCUCAGGACGAACGCUGGCGGUAUGCUUAACACAUGCAAGUCGAACGAGAAGGUUUUGAAUGAUCCUUCGGGUGAAAUUAGAACUGGAAAGUGGCGAACGGGUGAGUAACGCGUGGGUAACCUGCCCUAUGGAAAGGAAUAGCCUCGGGAAACUGGGAGUAAAGCCUUAUAUUAUGGUU